This 497-nucleotide ribosomal RNA is filed under the name uncultured bacterium. RNAcentral describes it as "partial 16S ribosomal RNA". It matches the Rfam family "Bacterial small subunit ribosomal RNA", at positions 28 to 507 of the family's 1533-position model. The record is from RNAcentral.
GAUGAACGCUGGCGGCGUGCCUAAUACAUGCAAGUCGAGCGAACGGACGAGAAGCUUGCUUCUCUGAUGUUAGCGGCGGACGGGUGAGUAACACGUGGAUAACCUACCUAUAAGACUGGGAUAACUUCGGGAAACCGGAGCUAAUACCGGAUAAUAUUUUGAACCGCAUGGUUCAAAAGUGAAAGACGGUCUUGCUGUCACUUAUAGAUGGAUCCGCGCUGCAUUAGCUAGUUGGUAAGGUAACGGCUUACCAAGGCAACGAUGCAUAGCCGACCUGAGAGGGGGAUCGGCCACACGGGAACUGAGACACGGUCCAGACUCCUACGGGAGGCAGCAGUAGGGAAUCGUCCGCAAUGGGCGAAAGCCUGACGGAGCAACGCCGCGUGAGUGAUGAAGGUCUUCGGAUCGUAAAACUCUGUUAUUAGGGAAGAACAUAUGUGUAAGUAACUGUGCACAUCUUGACGGUACCGAAUCAGAAAGCCACGGCUAACUACGUG